RNAcentral lists this ribosomal RNA (168 nucleotides) under uncultured bacterium. RNAcentral's name for it is "partial 16S ribosomal RNA". It matches the Rfam family "Bacterial small subunit ribosomal RNA", at positions 338 to 497 of the family's 1533-position model. The record is from RNAcentral.
CCUACGGGAGGCAGCAGUGAGGAAUUUUGCGCAAUGGGGGCAACCCUGACGCAGCAACGCCGCGUGAGUGAAGAAGGCCUUUGGGUCGUAAAGCUCUGUCAACAGGGAAGAAGUUACAAUUGUUUAACAGAUGRUUGUAUUGACGGUACCUGUGGAGGAAGCGCCGGC